AAACUUUGCGAGGAAGGUAAAUCGUGGGAUGUGCCCCAACAGGUCAGGAAACAAGAGUUGUCUAUACACUGCGUUUACAAAGAGUUUAAUUUCAUAUCUCAGGGAUCGAACCCCACACUGCGACUGCCAGCAAGGCGUAAGAUAACUCCAUUCCUGUCCUUUUUGCGUUAUUUUUACUUCUACUAGAGAAAAAGGGACAGAUGCAGCUGAGAAACCAGCCAGAGCGGCUUUUUCUUAUUUUUUCUGUAUGAAUUAAAAAAAUUAUGAUAGUAUAUUAGAGGGGUAUAGACGGGGUAGUAUUAGGUGGGUUGGUAUUGUUGGGGUUCCAAAUCAGGACAGAUUGCUUCUUGUGGACUUCGCUGUUCAUGCUCAACCUCAUCUUUGUAUGGGUUCGUCACUUGUGAUGAUUGUUGGGGUUCCAUUUGUAUUGUGCUUGUUGGGGUAAUGUAACAUCUCUUUAUCAAAUCAUUCUUUGCA
RNAcentral lists this long non-coding RNA (477 nucleotides) under Olea europaea (common olive). Its description in RNAcentral is "long non-coding RNA (OEUR_LNC003249)". Lineage: Eukaryota; Viridiplantae; Streptophyta; Magnoliopsida; Lamiales; Oleaceae. The record is from RNAcentral.